GAGCGGAAAGGCCCUUCGGGGUCUCGAGCGGCGAACGGGUGAGUAACACGUGAGUAGUCUGCCCCUAGCUCUGGGAUAGCUCCGGGAAACCGGGAUUAAUACCAGAUACGACCACUACGGACAUCUGUUUUGGUGGAAAGAAUUUCGGCUAGGGAUGAGCUCGCGGCCUAUCAGCUUGUUGGUAAGGUAACGGCCUACCAAGGCGACGACGGGUAGCCGGCCUAAGAAGGCGACCGGCCACACUAGGACUGAGACACGGCCCAGACUCCUACGGGAGGCAGCAGUGGGGAAUAUUGCGCAAUGGGCGAAAGCCUGACGCAGCGACGCCGCGUGGGGGAUGAAGGCCUUCGGGUUGUAAACCCCUUUCAGCAGGGACGAAGCGAGAGUGACGGUACCUGCAGAAGAAGCGCCGGCUAACUACGUGCCAGCAGCCGCGGUAAU
This 441-nucleotide ribosomal RNA is filed under the name uncultured bacterium. Its description in RNAcentral is "bacterial SSU rRNA". It matches the Rfam family "Bacterial small subunit ribosomal RNA", at positions 64 to 524 of the family's 1533-position model. The record is from RNAcentral.